UCAAACAAAGAAGGGCACAGGGCGGAUGCCUUGGCACUAAGAGCCGAAGAAAGACGUGACAAGCUGCGAAAAGCCGCGGGGAGGAGCAAAUAUCCCAUGAUCCGCGGAUGUCUGAAUGGGGAAACCCGGCAGGAAAGACUCCUGUCAUCCAUGCGCCAAUCCAUAACGCAUGGAAGGGAACCCGGUGAACUGAAACAUCUAAGUAACCGGAGGAAAAGAAAGAAACAUCGAUUCCGUAAGUAGCGGCGAGCGAACGCGGAGGAGGCCAAACCGGAAUGCGUGCAUUCCGGGGUAGAGGACUGCAUAAGCUACCUUAAGCAGCAGCAGAACGGUUUUGGGAAAGCCGGCCGCAGAGGGUGAAAGCCCCGUAAGCGAAGCUGUGAGAGGAGCGGCAGAAUCCGGAGUACCACGAGACACGUGAAACCUUGUGGGAAGCCGGGGGGACCACCCCCCAAGCCUAAAUACUACUUAGUGACCGAUAGAGCAAAGUACUGUGAAGGAAAGGUGAAAAGAACCCCGGGAGGGGAGUGAAAGAGAACCUGAAACCCUGUGUCUACAAGCUGUGGAAGUACUUUAAAUGUACAACCGCGUACUUUUUGUAGAACGGUCCGGCGAGUUACAUGGUGUGGCAAGGUUAAGCACGGAAAGUGUGGAGCCGAAGGGAAACCGAGUCUUAAGAGGGCGUGAAGUCACAUAGUGUAGACCCGAAACCGGGUGACCUACCCAUGUCCAGGUUGAAGCUGCUGUAAAAGGCGGUGGAGGACCGAACACACAUCCGUUGAAAAGGGUGGUGAUGAGGUGUGGGUAGCGGAGAAAUUCCAAUCGAACCCGGAGAUAGCUGGUUCUCCUCGAAAUAGUUUUAGGACUAGCCUGUUAUUAGUCUGCCGGAGGUAGAGCACUGAAUUCUUAAGGGGGCGUCAAAGCUUACCAAGAGAUAUCAAACUCCGAAUGCCGGCCAGAUGAUGUAACGGAGUCAGACUGCACGAGAUAAGUUGGGUAGUCAAAAGGGAAAGAGCCCAGACCACCGGCUAAGGUCCCAAAGUGCGUGUUAAGUGGAAAAGGAUGUGGGAAUUCGAAGACAACUAGGAUGUUGGCUCAGAAGCAGCCAUUCAUUCAAAGAGUGCGUAACAGCUCACUAGUCGAGAGUUCCUGCGCCGAAAAUGUCCGGGGCUGAAACACGACACCGAAGCCGUGGAAUCACGCAAGUGAUUGGUAGAGGAGCAUUCGCUGCACGACGAAGCUGUACCGAAAGGAGCAGUGGAGAGCAGUGAAGAGAGAAUGCCGGAAUGAGUAGCGAGAGAUAGGUGAGAAUCCUAUCGGCCGAAUAUCUAAGGUUUCCAGAGUAAAGCUGAUCUGCUCUGGGUAAGUCGGGACCUAAGGCGAGGUCGAAAGACGUAGUCGAUGGACAACUGGUUGAGAUUCCAGUACUUCAAUAUAUCAGAACUGUGGGGACACAGCCACAAAGCAUUAGCCGGGAAUGGAAAGACCGGUGCAAGCACAGGAGGCGUACGGCAGGCAAAUCCGCCGUAUAAGCCGGAGGUGUGAAGCGGAGCGAACAUAAGGGUAGCGAAGAAUGCAGAGUGGCUGUCGGGAAAAGCCGCUAUUGUGUAUAUUGAACCCGUACCGUAAACCGACACAGGUGGAUGAGGAGAGAAUCCUAAGGCCGACGGAAGAAGCAUUGUUAAGGAAUUCGGCAAAAUGACCCCGUAACUUCGGGAGAAGGGGUGCCUGCGAGAGCAGGCCGCAGAGAAUAGGCUCAAGCAACUGUUUAGCAAAAACACAGGUCUAUGCGAAACCGAAAGGUGAGGUAUAUGGGCUGACGCCUGCCCGGUGCUGGAAGGUUAAGAGGAGAGGUUAGCGCAAGCGAAGCUUUGAAUUUAAGCCCCAGUAAACGGCGGCCGUAACUAUAACGGUCCUAAGGUAGCGAAAUUCCUUGUCGGGUAAGUUCCGACCC
Molecule: ribosomal RNA, 1954 nt
Filed under: human gut metagenome
Description: bacterial LSU rRNA
Rfam family: Bacterial large subunit ribosomal RNA
Source: RNAcentral